GUCCUCUUGAUUAUAUUUUGAGGUCUGGCCUGCUCACUGACAAGUUUUAAAGAGCCGCGGUAUUUUGACCGUGCAAAGGUAGCAUAAUCAUUAGUCUCUUAAUUAGGGGCUGGAAUGAAUGGCUUGACGAGAAAUUAACUGUCUCUUAUUAAAUAAUAGAAUUUAACUUUUGAGUUAAAAGGCUUAAAUUUUUCUUAAAGACGAGAAGACCCUAUAGAGCUUGACAUUUUAUUUUAAUAUAAUUUUUAGAUAGUUUUUUUAUAUUUUAAGAUAAUGUUUUGUUGGGGUGACAUGAAGAAUAGAUAAACUCUUCAUUAUAAAAUCAUUGAUUUAUGUUUAUUUUGAUCCAUAAUUUAUGAUCAUAAGAUUAAGUUACCUUAGGGAUAACAGCGUAAUUGUUUUUGAGAGCUCAUAUUGACAAAGCAGAUUGCGACCUCGAUGUUGGAUUAAGAAUAAUUUUGGGUGCAGGAGCCCAGUAAUUAGGUCUGUUCGACCUUUAAAU
RNAcentral lists this ribosomal RNA (502 nucleotides) under Melanoplus devastator (devastating grasshopper). RNAcentral's name for it is "partial 16S ribosomal RNA". It matches the Rfam family "Archaeal large subunit ribosomal RNA", at positions 1911 to 2662 of the family's 2987-position model. Lineage: Eukaryota; Metazoa; Arthropoda; Insecta; Orthoptera; Acrididae. The record is from RNAcentral.